UACGAAGGGUGCAAGCGUUACUCGGAAUUACUGGGCGUAAAGCGUGCGUAGGUGGUUUGUCAAGUCUGAUGUGAAAGCCCUGAGCUCAACCUGGGAAUUGCAUUGGAUACUGGCAGGCUAGAGUGCGGUAGAGGAUGGCGGAAUUCCCGGUGUAGCAGUGAAAUGCGUAGAGAUCGGGAGGAACAUCCGUGGCGAAGGCGGCCAUCUGGACCAGCACUGACACUGAGGCACGAAAGCGUGGGGAGCAAACAGGAUUAGAAACCCGCGUAGUCC
Molecule: ribosomal RNA, 273 nt
Filed under: uncultured Luteimonas sp.
Lineage: Bacteria; Pseudomonadati; Pseudomonadota; Gammaproteobacteria; Lysobacterales; Lysobacteraceae
Description: partial 16S ribosomal RNA
Rfam family: Bacterial small subunit ribosomal RNA
Source: RNAcentral